This 1155-nucleotide long non-coding RNA is filed under the name Oncorhynchus mykiss (rainbow trout). RNAcentral's name for it is "lncRNA (ENSOMYG00000075643.1)". Lineage: Eukaryota; Metazoa; Chordata; Actinopteri; Salmoniformes; Salmonidae. The record is from RNAcentral.
AUGGUUUGUUACAGUCUAGUUUGUUACAGUCUAGUUUGUUACAGUCUAGUGUGUUACAGUCUAGUGUGUUACAGUCUAGUUUGUUACAGUCUAGUUUGUUACAGUCUAGUUUGUUACAGUCUAGUUUGUUACAGUCUAGUUUGUUACAGUCUAGUGUGUUACAGUCUAGUUUGUUACAGUCUAGUUUGUUACAGUCUAGUUUGUUACAGUCUAGUUUGUUACAGUCUAGUUUGUUACAGUCUAGUUUGUUACAGUCUAGUUUGUUACAGUCUAGUUUGUUACAGUCUAGUUUGUUACAGUCUAGUGUGUUACAGUCUAGUGUGUUACAGUCUAGUUUGUUACAGUCUAGUGUGUUACAGUCUAGUUUGUUACAGUCUAGUGUGUUACAGUCUAGUUUGUUACAGUCUAGUGUGUUACAGUCUAGUUUGUUACAGUCUAGUGUGUUACAGUCUAGUUUGUUACAGUCUAGUGUGUUACAGUCUAGUGUGUUACAGUCUAGUUUGUUACAGUCUAGUGUGUUACAGUCUAGUGUGUUACAGUCUAGUUUGUUACAGUCUAGUUUGUUACAGUCUAGUGUGUUACAGUCUAGUUUGUUACAGUCUAGUGUGUUACAGUCUAGUUUGUUACAGUCUAGUUUGUUACAGUAUAGUUUGUUACAGUCUAGUUUGUUACAGUCUAGUUUGUUACAGUCUAGUUUGUUACAGUCUAGUUUGUUACAGUCUAGUGUGUUACAGUCUAGUGUGUUACAGUCUAGUUUGUUACAGUCUAGUGUGUUACAGUCUAGUUUGUUACAGUCUAGUGUGUUACAGUCUAGUUUGUUACAGUCUAGUGUGUUACAGUCUAGUUUGUUACAGUCUAGUGUGUUACAGUCUAGUUUGUUACAGUCUAGUGUGUUACAGUCUAGUUUGUUACAGUCUAGUGUGUUACAGUCUAGUGUGUUACAGUCUAGUUUGUUACAGUCUAGUUUGUUACAGUCUAGUUUGUUACAGUCUAGUUUGUUACAGUCUAGUUUGUUACAGUCUAGUUUGUUACAGUCUAGUUUGUUACAGUCUAGUGUGUUACAGUCUAGUUUGUUACAGUCUAGUUUGUUACAGUCUAGUUUGUUACAGUCUAGUUUGUUACAGUCUAGUUCUAAAAUGGAUUACAUUUUUUUAA